AACUGAAGGACUGCAACGUCACAUUAAUUUUAACCAAUGAAAUGUGCUGUUGCAAUAAUGUACUCUUCAAAAAAGAAAAUACAAAAGAACUAAGGUUAAUAAAUAGAACAACUAUAUAGAUACGAAGUUACUAUACACAUCUAUUCAUUAGUAUUUAUGAACAGAAAGUCAGAAAAGAUGCUCUAAUCAAGAGAAGAAAACGUCAAUGUGACAGUGAAAAGGGCUAGGACUUGGAUGAGUCUGUUCAGAGAAGAAGAACAGCCAAGUUUUAUAUGUAUGUACUUAAAGGGCAACCAAAUAAGAUUUAAAGUAUCCAGUGAAGGUCUUACAAAGAUAGAUGAUAUUUCACUGUUAUAAAGUAAAGGGACAAAAGCUCAGAGCAGCUAUAUUAUAAUGUACCAUCAGUGCUCUUUCAACAGCUGCAUAUCAAUAAACAGAUAAACAUAUGAACAAUUUAUUCAUGAUAAGGGAUAUGCCCUUGAAAUAACAUUUUAUAAUAUUUUGUGAUAACUUAUUGAAAAUGUGAGACUUGAUUUGUCAGAAUUUUGAUAUAAAUCAAGAGUUUAAAAUGAUCUUGGUCUUGAACAUUAAAAAAAAAAUUGAUUUGAAAAAAGUUGAAAUGUUAAGCAAAGAACAAUAACAAUUUGCUAAGGAGAGAAAAUUAUGGAUAAAAUAAGAGAUAUACAACAAUGCAAUAAUUUCCAAAACUGAUGGAGAACUGCAAAUUGAGUUAUUAGAUAUAGGAAGAUGUGGUGUGAGUGCCAAUGAGACAACUCUCCAUCCAAACAACAAUUCAAAAAUUAAACCAUUAUAGGUUAAAAUAUAGUCCUUUAUGCAACAUUUUUAGCUGUAUUAAUUUGCUUCCAAUCAUGUAUUGCUGUUAUGAAAUAUUUCUGAAGUAAAACUAGUGAAAAUGUUAUCAAAUAUAUAAACUCUGUAUUAUGAAUGAGAUUUUCAGUAAAACUGAAUAGAUUUUAAAUUUAGGAAGCUUGUAAAACAAUGGAAGAUUUUGUUAAAAAAUAUUUGAAAUUAUGAAUUAUAGAUAUGUUAACAAAGUAACAAUCCUUUUUCAUCUUUCAAAUUUCGAAAACAAGUUUCCAAUUCAUUGUUUCAAUUUCCUAAUGGCUAGUCUGAUUGUUUCUUUAUAAUUUGGUAUAGAUUCAAAAUUUAGAAGUAGAGGUGUUUUCGAGGUGUUUCUGACCAUUACCAAAUAAGAUAUAUUCCCUUUGUCUAUUUCUUGAUUUUUUAUGAUGUGUAUAUAUUGUGUCUGACAAUUUUGCAUAUGUGAAGAAUGACAUUUAUAAUGUAUUCAUAUUUUGACCAAAAAAAACACAUUCAGAAAUUAUUUAGUACAAUUUUGUAACAUUUGUUAAUUGUGAAAAUUAUUAAAAGAACUUAAAAAUCAUAA
Molecule: long non-coding RNA, 1408 nt
Organism: Mytilus trossulus (common blue mussel)
Lineage: Eukaryota; Metazoa; Mollusca; Bivalvia; Mytilida; Mytilidae
Exons: 4
Source: RefSeq, a predicted model, not a curated record